Molecule: ribosomal RNA, 427 nt
Filed under: uncultured bacterium
Lineage: Bacteria
Description: bacterial SSU rRNA
Rfam family: Bacterial small subunit ribosomal RNA
Source: RNAcentral
UGGGGAAUAUUGCGCAAUGGGCGAAAGCCUGACGCAGCGACGCCGCGUGAGGGAUGAAGGUUUUCGGAUCGUAAACCUCUGUCAGAAGGGAAGAAACCGCACCGUGCUAAUCAGCGGUGCAUUGACGGUACCUUCAAAGGAAGCACCGGCUAACUCCGUGCCAGCAGCCGCGGUAAUACGGAGGGUGCAAGCGUUAAUCGGAAUUACUGGGCGUAAAGCGCACGUAGGCUGCUUUGUAAGUCAGGGGUGAAAUCCCACGGCUCAACCGUGGAACUGCCUUUGAUACUGCUUAGCUUGAAUCCGGGAGAGGGUGGCGGAAUUCCAGGUGUAGGAGUGAAAUCCGUAGAUAUCUGGAGGAACAUCAGUGGCGAAGGCGGCCACCUGGACCGGUAUUGACGCUGAGGUGCGAAAGCGUGGGGAGCAAACA